AGUGAACGCUGGCGGCGUGCCUAAUACAUGCAAGUCGAACGGACAAGUAAGAGCUUGCUCUUAUGAGUUAGUGGCGCACGGGUGAGUAAUGUAUAGCUAAUCUGCCCUACACUAGAGGACAACAGUUGGAAACGACUGCUAAUACUCUAUACACCUCUCUAGCAUAAGUUAGAUAGGGAAAGUUUUUCGGUGUAGGAUGAGGCUAUAUUGUAUCAGCUAGUUGGUGAGGUAAUGGCUCACCAAGGCUAUGACGCAUAACUGGUCUGAGAGGAUGAUCAGUCACACUGGAACUGAGACACGGUCCAGACUCCUACGGGAGGCAGCAGUAGGGAAUAUUGCUCAAUGGGGGAAACCCUGAAGCAGCAACGCCGCGUGGAGGAUGACACUUUUCGGAGCGUAAACUCCUUUUGUUAGGGAAGAACAAUGACGGUACCUAACGAAUAAGCACCGGCUAACUCCGUGCCAGCAGCCGCGGUAAUACGGAGGGUGCAAGCGUUACUCGGAAUCACUGGGCGUAAAGGACGCGUAGGCGGAUUAUCAAGUCUCUUGUGAAAUCCUAUGGCUUAACCAUAGAACUGCUUGGGAAACUGAUAAUCUAGAGUGAGGGAGAGGCAGAUGGAAUUGGUGGUGUAGGGGUAAAAUCCGUAGAGAUCACCAGGAAUACCCAUUGCGAAGGCGAUCUGCUGGAACUCAACUGACGCUAUGCGUGAAAGCGUGGGGAGCAAACAGG
This 730-nucleotide ribosomal RNA is filed under the name uncultured Campylobacter sp. RNAcentral describes it as "bacterial SSU rRNA". It matches the Rfam family "Bacterial small subunit ribosomal RNA", at positions 28 to 776 of the family's 1533-position model. The record is from RNAcentral. Lineage: Bacteria; Pseudomonadati; Campylobacterota; Epsilonproteobacteria; Campylobacterales; Campylobacteraceae.